RNAcentral lists this ribosomal RNA (263 nucleotides) under uncultured bacterium. RNAcentral's name for it is "partial 16S ribosomal RNA". It matches the Rfam family "Bacterial small subunit ribosomal RNA", at positions 524 to 787 of the family's 1533-position model. The record is from RNAcentral.
UACGUAGGUGGCAAGCGUUGUCCGGAAUUAUUGGGCGUAAAGCGCGCGCAGGCGGAUCAGUCAGUCUGUCUUAAAAGUUCGGGGCUUAACCCCGUGAUGGGAUGGAAACUGCUGAUCUAGAGUAUCGGAGAGGAAAGUGGAAUUCCUAGUGUAGCGGUGAAAUGCGUAGAUAUUAGGAAGAACACCAGUGGCGAAGGCGACUUUCUGGACGAAAACUGACGCUGAGGCGCGAAAGCCAGGGGAGCGAACGGGAUUAGAUACCC